AAAUCCGGGAGGUCAAUUCUGAGGCGUGAUAACGAGGUACUUCGGUACUGAAGUGAUUGAUACCAAGCUUCCAAGAAAAGCCACUAAGCUUCAGUUAUAUUAAAACCGUACCGCAAACCGACACAGGUGGGCAGGAUGAGAAUUCUAAGGCGCUUGAGAGAACCCGGGAGAAGGAACUCGGCAAAUUAGCACCGUAACUUCGGGAGAAGGUGCGCCCUGGUAGUGUGUAUAGACUUGCUCUAGAAGCACGAAAGGGUUGCAGUGAAAAGGUGGCUGCGACUGUUUAAUAAAAACACAGCACUCUGCAAACACGAAAGUGGACGUAUAGGGUGUGACGCCUGCCCGGUGCUGGAAGAUUAAAUGAUGGGGUGCAAGCUCUUGAUUGAAGUCCCAGUAAACGGCGGCCGUAACAAUAACGGUCCUAAGGUAGCGAAAUUCCUUGUCGGGUAAGUUCCGACCCGCACGAAUGGCGUAACGAUGGCCACACUGUCUCCUCUCGGGACUCAGCGAAGUUGAAAUGUUUGUGAAGAUGCAAUCUACCCGCGGCUAGACGGAAAGACCCCAUGAACCUUUACUGUAGCUUUACAUUGGACUUUGACAAGAUUUGUGUAGAUAGGUGGGAGACUAUGAAGCGGCGUCGCUAGAUGUCGUGGAGUCAACCUUGAAAUACCACCCUGAUGUUGUUGAGGUUCUAACCUAGGUCCAUAAUCUGGACUGGGGACCGUGUAUGGUGGGCAGUUUGACUGGGGCGGUCUCCUCCCAAAGAGUAACGGAGGAGUGCGAAGGUAACCUAGGUACGGUCGGAAAUCGUACUGAUAGUGCAAUGGCAUAAGGUUGCUUGACUGCGAGACGGACAGGUCGAGCAGGUGCGAAAGCAGGUCAUAGUGAUCCGGUGGUUCUGUAUGGAAGGGCCAUCGCUCAACGGAUAAAAGGUACUCUGGGGAUAACAGGCUGAUUCCUCCCAAGAGUUCAUAUCGACGGGGGAGUUUGGCACCUCGAUGUCGGCUCAUCACAUCCUGGGGCUGUAGCCGGUCCCAAGGGUAUGGCUGUUCGCCAUUUAAAGUGGUACGUGAGCUGGGUUUAAAACGUCGUGAGACAGUUUGGUCCCUAUCUGCCGUGGGCGCUGGAAAUUUGAAGGGACCUGCUCCUAGUACGAGAGGACCGGAGUGGACGCACCGCUGGUGGACCAGUUAUCAUGCCAAUGGUAUAGCUGGGUAGCUAAGUGCGGAAGAGAUAAACGCUGAAAGCAUCUAAGCGUGAAACUCGCCUUGAGAUGAGAUUUCCCUGGGGGUUUAACCCCCCUAAAGAGUCGUUCGAGACCAGGACGUUGAUAGGACGGAUGUGGAAGUGCAGUAAUGCAUUAAGCUGACCGUUACUAAUUGCUCGUGAGGCUUGAUCCU
Molecule: ribosomal RNA, 1400 nt
Filed under: metagenome
Description: bacterial LSU rRNA
Rfam family: Bacterial large subunit ribosomal RNA
Source: RNAcentral